This is a non-coding RNA of Brachypodium distachyon (stiff brome), 123 nucleotides long. Lineage: Eukaryota; Viridiplantae; Streptophyta; Magnoliopsida; Poales; Poaceae. The record is from Rfam.
AUAGUACUCCCUCCGAUUCAUAUUAAUUGUCAAAAUAUUACAUGUAUCUACGCUUUUUAAUCAUAGAUACAUCUAUAUUUGGGCAAAUUUGAGACAAUUAAUACGGAUCGGAGGGAGUAACAG